This 864-nucleotide long non-coding RNA is filed under the name Equus asinus (donkey). RNAcentral's name for it is "lncRNA (ENSEASG00005038529.1)". The record is from RNAcentral. Lineage: Eukaryota; Metazoa; Chordata; Mammalia; Perissodactyla; Equidae.
GGAAACAAGUACACGACUGUUUCAGUUUGUCACUAUCAUUACUUCUGCUGCUGCUAUUACUUCCAGCCUCACCAUCGCCACAGGCAAACCUUGACUGAGCCCUUACUCUGAGGCAAGGGCUUUAGGGGCAGAAUCUGGGUUAAUCUUCUUCACCCCAGGAGUCAGUCCUCUCAUUAUGCCAGCUUUACAGAUGAAGAAAUAGAAACUCGGGGACAUUUAGAAACACGGCCAAAUUCACAGUUAGUAAGUGGCAGAGCUGGAAUAUGAAGCCAGGCAGUCUGGUUUCUUGACCGUUCUUAAUCACUGCUAAUUACUGAGAAAUAAAGGAUAACAGGUAGCAAACGAUGGGCAGCUGACCACAGCAAAACUUAGAGUAAGUCACUCGUGAUGUCACAGCUUCACACAGUGGGAUCAGGCGUCUCGUGGUCUCGCUUCCCCAGUUCCUUCUUCAAAGCUCUAGAAGGACUUGUUGGUCUAGGUUUCAUCUGGAAAAUCCUCCUCCCCCUCCCCCACUGCCUACAGAGUUGGGGGCUAGAGUCACGCUGUCCGGUUUCAGCUGGGGUGGGAGUGGGCUGCCCUCACUGCCUGACUGUGGGCUCUGCAGCCUCUUUCAGAACCUCCUCCUCAGUUUCCACUCUGCUUAGGGCCUCCUGGUUGCCCCCUGGCCCUUCUACUCGGCAACUGCUUGAAUCUAAUCCAGAUGGACAAAGUGCUUCAGACGCAGUAGGAAAAGAACAAGGGCUGUCCAGAAGAAUGUCAGUCUGAGAUAAAUCGCAUGUCAGGAAGAGAAAAUCCACUGUGUUAAGAACCAUGAAAUCUGUAGGCCCAGACAAAUUAUGUCCUAGGAUGUGGGUUGCAAACUUU